Molecule: ribosomal RNA, 253 nt
Filed under: uncultured bacterium
Lineage: Bacteria
Description: partial 16S ribosomal RNA
Rfam family: Bacterial small subunit ribosomal RNA
Source: RNAcentral
UACGGAGGGUGCAAGCAUUAAUCGGAUUUAUUGGGCGUAAAGGGCGCGUAGGCGGAAAUGAAAGUCAGAUGUGAAAUCCCGGGGCUCAACCUCGGGACAGCAUUUGAAACUCCAUUUCUAGAGGGUAGACGGGGAAAAUGGAAUUCCACAAGUAGCGGUGAAAUGCGUAGAUAUGUGGAGGAACACCAGUGGCGAAGGCGAUUUUCUAGUUUAUACCUGACGCUAAUGCGCGCAAGCAAGGGGAGCAAACAGG